This 468-nucleotide ribosomal RNA is filed under the name uncultured bacterium. RNAcentral's name for it is "partial 16S ribosomal RNA". It matches the Rfam family "Bacterial small subunit ribosomal RNA", at positions 28 to 507 of the family's 1533-position model. The record is from RNAcentral.
GACGAACGCUGGCGGCGUGCUUAACACAUGCAAGUCGAACGGAAAGUCCCUGCUUUUGUGGUGUGCUCGAGUGGCGAACGGGUGAGUAACACGUGAGUAACCUGCCCUUGACUUUGGGAUAACGUCAGGAAACUGGGGCUAAUACCGGAUAUGAUCUCCUGCUGCAGGGUGUGGGUUGGAACGUUUCGGGGGUAGGGGCUGGACGCGCUGCUUAUCAGCUAGUUGGGCGGGGAGUGACAUACCAAGGCUUUGACGGGUAGCCGGCCUGGGAGGGUGACCGGGGACAUGGGGCCUGCGGUAGGCCGCAGUAGCCUACGUGAGGCAACAGUCGAAAGUAUUACACAGUGGGCGCGAGCCUGAUAAGGCAACGCCGCGAGCGGGAUACUCGGCUGCGGGUUGUGAACCGCUUUCGCAUGUGACGAAGCGUGAGUGACGGUAAUGAGUCAAGAAGCAACGGCUAACUACGUG